UAAUACAUGCAAGUCGUACGCUUCUUUUUCCACCGGAGCUUGCUCCACCGGAAAAAGAAGAGUGGCGAACGGGUGAGUAACACGUGGGUAACCUGCCCAUCAGAAGGGGAUAACACUUGGAAACAGGUGCUAAUACCGUAUAACAAUCGAAACCGCAUGGUUUUGAUUUGAAAGGCGCUUUCGGGUGUCGCUGAUGGAUGGACCCGCGGUGCAUUAGCUAGUUGGUGAGGUAACGGCUCACCAAGGCCACGAUGCAUAGCCGACCUGAGAGGGUGAUCGGCCACAUUGGGACUGAGACACGGCCCAAACUCCUACGGGAGGCAGCAGUAGGGAAUCUUCGGCAAUGGACGAAAGUCUGACCGAGCAACGCCGCGUGAGUGAAGAAGGUUUUCGGAUCGUAAAACUCUGUUGUUAGAGAAGAACAAGGAUGAGAGUAACUGUUCAUCCCUUGACGGUAUCUAACCAGAAAGCCACGGCUAACUACGUGCCAGCAGCCGCGGUAAUACGUAGGUGGCAAGCGUUGUCCGGAUUUAUUGGGCGUAAAGCGAGCGCAGGCGGUUUCUUAAGUCUGAUGUGAAAGCCCCCGGCUCAACCGGGGAGGGUCAUUGGAAACUGGGAGACUUGAGUGCAGAAGAGGAGAGUGGAAUUCCAUGUGUAGCGGUGAAAUGCGUAGAUAUAUGGAGGAACACCAGUGGCGAAGGCGGCUCUCUGGUCUGUAACUGACGCUGAGGC
This 732-nucleotide ribosomal RNA is filed under the name Enterococcus sp. RNAcentral describes it as "bacterial SSU rRNA". It matches the Rfam family "Bacterial small subunit ribosomal RNA", at positions 49 to 752 of the family's 1533-position model. Lineage: Bacteria; Bacillati; Bacillota; Bacilli; Lactobacillales; Enterococcaceae. The record is from RNAcentral.